AUCGCAACACACAACUCAGGUCUGCACCCAGGGAGCAUCACUGAUGACAAACCGAUGUGUCUCUAUGGCCUGAGCACACAACUACGAUUCAGCGUCCCCGUGAAAAGAAGAAAAUGCAAAUGGUGCAAAAAGAAUUUUUCUGUCCUACUUCGGACAGGAGAUGCCACAAAACGACUUUUUGGAUCUAUGAACUGUUCAUUUGAGGAUGACGUACUUCCAUUUCCAACGUUUCCACAAACUGGACGGUGCCCUGGAACUUGUGUAACAAAGUUUACACCUACUGCGAACCGACACAGGAUUUCAUCACCUGCACAGCCUGCAGGGGCCAAAAGAUGACUCCACACUGUAAAGUCUGGAAGGACAACCCAGACUGUGACAACCUGCUUCUGGAGAGGAGUUUCAACAUCACGCAUAAGAAAAAGAGGAGACAGGAAACAACACUGUGCAGCUCCAUAGUGCCAGGAGAUUAUGGCUCACGGAUGUUGGCAGACUGGUACUUCAUAUGCGGGAAUGAAGCGUACAUGUUUUUGCCAAAAAAAUUGGGGAGGACUGUGUGCUGUGGUGUCUCUAAUCAACCCGAUUGCGUUCAUCAGGAAAGCACAGAAUGAUCUACACACCCGCUCCAAACGAACAGAGGUCAAAAGAUGGGGAGGCCUCACAACACAUACUGGAGUUCCAUGGGAAUUCAGGAUUUGGAACGGCGGAGAAAAAUUCAUGCAAAGCCUGUUUUCGUGGAUUGGAGUAAGUGAGAUUCGGGACCACGUUGAGAUCAACAGAUAUGAAUUACUGCGACUCAUCAACAGUACACAGCCAAUGGCACCAUGAAAGAACUGACUGAACUGAGAAACAUGGUUAUGCAAAACCGUGUUGUCCUGGACUUUCUCACUGCCCCUCAGGGAGGGGUCUGCAAAAUCAUUGGCCCGACAUGCUGUACUUUUGUGCCUGAUGAAACAGGAACUGGAGGAACUAUUUCUGACGCUCUAUACGAGCUGGAAGAUUUAAAACAGUAUGUGGAGAGUGGAACACGCGGCUCAUCCUCUUUUGAUUUGCUUUCAUGGUUUACAUCUGGACCAUGGUGGGCUUUGCUGCUAAAGCUCGUGACACCUGUUCUGAUUGUUUUAGUUCUGUUCUGUCUUUUUACGGGUUGCAUUAUUCCUUGUCUACGACAUAUGAUGUUUAAAACAGUUAACACAACUGUUAUCAACUAUCAGCUGGCAAAGGCAUCUUAUGAGACAACUGAAGAAGACUUGUUCCAAGUUUCUGACGAUUUUCUGAACAAUGAUGAAGUUCUGUAAUCAAUAAACAGAUGAAUUCAUUUGCUGAAUGACUCCUACAACAAAAAAUGGGAAAACA
This is a long non-coding RNA of Poecilia latipinna (sailfin molly), 1353 nucleotides long. RefSeq lists it as uncharacterized. The record is from RefSeq and is a predicted model, not a curated record. The transcript has 3 exons. NCBI's taxonomy places the organism in Eukaryota, Metazoa, Chordata, Actinopteri, Cyprinodontiformes, Poeciliidae.